CGCACGGGUGCGUAACACGUAAGCAAUCUGGCUGCAGGAGGGGGAUAACUCCGCGAAAGCGGGGCUAAUACCGCAUACAAUGCCCGGGCCGCAUGGCCGGGGCAUCAAAGGAGCAAUCCGCCUGCAGAUGAGCUUGCGGUGCAUUAGCUAGUUGGGGAGGUAACGGCUCCCCAAGGCGAUGAUGCAUAGGGGUUCUGAGAGGAAGAUCCCCCACACUGGCACUGAGACACGGGCCAGACUCCUACGGGAGGCAGCAGUGAGGAAUAUUGCGCAAUGGAGGCAACUCUGACGCAGCCACGCCGCGUGCCGGAUGACGGUCCUAUGGAUUGUAAACGGCUUUUUACAGGGAAGAACCACCUUGAUUCGUCAGGGUCUGACGGUACCUGUGGAAUAAGCACCGGCUAACUCCGUGCCAGCAGCCGCGGUAAUACGGAGGGUGCAAGCGUUGUCCGGAAUUAUUGGGUGUAAAGGGUGCGUAGGCGGAGCUUUAAGUCCGGGGUGAAAUCUUGCCGCUCAACGGUAAAAUGGCCUUGGAUACUGGAGUUCUUGAGUGUGACAGAGGCCGGCGGAAUUCGUAGUGUAGCGGUGAAAUGCACAGAUAUUACGAAGAACACCAGUGGCGUAGGCGGCCGGCUGGGUCACAACUGACGCUGAGGCACGAGAGCGUGGGGAGCGAACAGGAUUAGAUACCCUGGUAGUCCACGCCGUAAACGAUGUAUGCUAGGUGUCGGGGCCGCUACGGCGGGCUCGGUGCUGCAGCUAACGCACUAAGCAUACCACCUGGGGAGUACGUUGGCAACAAUGAAACUCAAAGGAAUUGACGGGGGCCCGCACAAGCGGUGGAGCAUGUGGCUUAAUUCGAUGCAACGCGAAGAACCUUACC
RNAcentral lists this ribosomal RNA (883 nucleotides) under uncultured bacterium. RNAcentral describes it as "bacterial SSU rRNA". It matches the Rfam family "Bacterial small subunit ribosomal RNA", at positions 99 to 975 of the family's 1533-position model. The record is from RNAcentral.